RNAcentral lists this ribosomal RNA (402 nucleotides) under bacterium. RNAcentral's name for it is "partial 16S ribosomal RNA". It matches the Rfam family "Bacterial small subunit ribosomal RNA", at positions 355 to 776 of the family's 1533-position model. The record is from RNAcentral.
UGGGGAAUUUUGCACAACGGGGGAAACCCUGAUGCAGCGACGCCGCGUGAUUUAGAAGGCCUUCGGGUUGUAAACAUCUUUUCUAUGGGAAGAAAAUGACAGUACUAUAGGAAUAAGGACCGGCUAAUUACGUGCCAGCAGCCGCGGUAAUACGUAAGGUCCGAGCGUUGUCCGGAAUCAUUGGGCGUAAAGGGUACGUAGGCGGGUAAGCAAGUUAGAAGUGAAAUCCUAUAGCUCAACUAUAGUAAGCUUUUAAAACUGCUCAUCUUGAGGUAUGGAAGGGAAAGUGGAAUUCCUAGUGUAGCGUUGAAAUGCGCAGAUAUUAGGAGGAAUACAGGUGGCGGGGGCGAAUUUCUGGCCAUAACCUGACGCUGAGGUACGAAAGCGUGGGUAGCAAACAGG